CCCACGCCAUCGGGUCUUUUUGGUGGGAUGUUGUGACUAGUGGAGUUAUUUGAGCUGCACAGUAGUAUCCCGCCACGUCAGGCAUUCCCAUCCCUCCUUGGGCAAAUGAUCAGUGCAUUGUGGUUUUUGCUACUCUUGGUUUCGCGUUUUCCCACACAUAAGCGUUGAGGAGGUUUUGUAGUUCCAGCAGAUACUUUGUGGGAAGCUUGAGUGGGAGUGUGCGGAAUAAGUAUUGUAUUUUUGGUAGGAGCACCAUUUUUAUCGAGGCUAUCCGGCCUGUCCAUGAAAUGUAUUUCCCUUUCCACCCUUGUAGAAUGGAUUUGACUUCACCAAGCAGUUUGGCGUAAUUCGCUUUGAAGAGCCUGUUUGGUGUGGGUGUAAAGUUGAUCCCUAGGAACUUUAUAUGGUCAUGUCUCCAGUUGUAGUCAAAGUUAGCUUUUAGGGCAGUCAAGUCUUGGGACGGGAUGUUAAUCCCUAGGGCAAGGGUCUUUGCAAUAUUUCAUUUGUAGUAUGAGCAUUUGCUGUAUUGGGAUAGGGUCUUAUGAAAGUUGGGUAGCGAUAUGUGUGGUUGUUCUAGGGAUAAGAGGAUGUCGUCCGCGAACAGGGAUAGCUUAUAUUCUCGG
Pelobates cultripes (western spadefoot toad) is the source of this 623-nucleotide non-coding RNA. NCBI's taxonomy places the organism in Eukaryota, Metazoa, Chordata, Amphibia, Anura, Pelobatidae. The record is from the annotation of a GenBank genome assembly.